GGGGAAUAUUGGGCAAUGGGCGAAAGCCUGACCCAGCAACGCCGCGUGAGGGAAGAAGGCCUUCGGGUUGUAAACCUCUGUCCUUGGUGACGAAAAAAAUGACGGUAGCCAAGGAGGAAGCCCCGGCUAACUACGUGCCAGCAGCCGCGGUAAUACGUAGGGGGCGAGCGUUGUCCGGAAUUACUGGGCGUAAAGGGUGCGUAGGUGGCCUUUUAAGUUGGAUGUGAAAUCCCCGGGCUUAACUUGGGUGGUGCAUCUAAUACUGGAGGGCUAGAGUGCAGGAGAGGGAAGCGGAAUUCCUAGUGUAGCGGUGAAAUGCGUAGAUAUUAGGAGGAACACCAGUGGCGAAGGCGGCUUUCUGGACUGUAACUGACGCUGAGGCACGAAAGCGUGGGGAGCAAACA
Molecule: ribosomal RNA, 404 nt
Filed under: uncultured Eubacteriales bacterium
Lineage: Bacteria; Bacillati; Bacillota; Clostridia; Eubacteriales
Description: bacterial SSU rRNA
Rfam family: Bacterial small subunit ribosomal RNA
Source: RNAcentral